This 74-nucleotide transfer RNA is filed under the name Planctomycetaceae bacterium. RNAcentral describes it as "tRNA-Ile". It matches the Rfam family "tRNA". From Rfam's summary of the family: Transfer RNA (tRNA) molecules are approximately 80 nucleotides in length. The record is from RNAcentral. RNAcentral also lists the same sequence under 1 other name. Lineage: Bacteria; Pseudomonadati; Planctomycetota; Planctomycetia; Planctomycetales; Planctomycetaceae.
GGGCCAUUAGCUCAGUCGGUUAGAGCUGGCGACUCAUAAUCGCUUGGUCGCAGGUUCGAGUCCUGCAUGGCCCA